This is a long non-coding RNA of Carassius auratus (goldfish), 838 nucleotides long. RefSeq lists it as uncharacterized. The record is from RefSeq and is a predicted model, not a curated record. NCBI's taxonomy places the organism in Eukaryota, Metazoa, Chordata, Actinopteri, Cypriniformes, Cyprinidae. The transcript is spliced from 3 exons.
UUACACAUUUGGCUGUCAUUUAAAUCUAUUCUGCAAGUUUCCCUUCAAAAUCAUAUGAAAAAUGUGAAGAAAGUGCAGUGAUGUGUCUGAGUUCUUUAUUUGUGAAUGUGAGAUUGACACACAGGCACUAAUGAGUAUUCGGCUUCACUGGCUGUAAAAUCUUCCUUAUGUCCCACUGAGCUGUUAAGGAAACAUGAAUCUCCUCUAACAGCAGGAGCCAGACUGCUCAAGCAAGACCAUCUCACACUGUUGCCAUAACACGGAUGUGGAAGAGUGAUGAAAUCACUUUUGGAGAUUUAGACUGAACAAACCACUUCAAGACAAACUUGUGUGCGUUGGUCCUCCAGGGUCAAUCAUGGAAUUCUUGGACUAUGUUCUUCUGCUUGUUGGUUCCCCUUUCAAGCUUCCAAGGAGCUUUACCUUCUAUAGAUUCCAGCAUGCCCUCCACUGAGGGUCGUGAGCAACAUCUCAGCCAUCAUGGGUGCCGCGUCACAGUUUCCAGCUGUCAUAGACGCUCCACCAGAGUCUUCAGCCAUCAUGAUCUGCCCUGGUAGUCUGGAGCUCAGCCUGUGCCACCGUCAUGGUCUCCUGCUCAACCCACACUGCCGUUGUGUUCUCCAGCUCAGCUGUGGUGGUCUUCUGCUGCCAGCUCCUCCCUGGUUUCCUGCUCCUUUGGCUCUGCCCUGGAUUUUUGGUCAACUUAGCGUUCAGAUACUUUUCCACCACACGGGCCUGGCCUUCCUUCACUCCCCCUAAAAGCUUCUGCUAAAUGCAUAAAUUGAAUUUAUAUUAUAUAUAUAUAUAUAUAUUGUCACGGGAGGAGCACAAGACAGACACA